This 200-nucleotide ribosomal RNA is filed under the name uncultured archaeon. RNAcentral's name for it is "partial 16S ribosomal RNA". It matches the Rfam family "Archaeal small subunit ribosomal RNA", at positions 477 to 677 of the family's 1478-position model. The record is from RNAcentral.
CAGCACCUCAAGUGGUCAGGAUGAUUAUUGGGCCUAAAGCAUCCGUAGCCGGCUCUGUAAGUUUUCGGUUAAAUCCAUGUGCUCAACGCAUGGGCUGCCGAAAAUACUGCAUAGCUAGGGAGUGGGAGAGGUAGACGGUACUCGGUAGGAAGGGGUAAAAUCCUUUGAUCUAUCGAUGACCACCUGUGGCGAAGGCGGUG